CGGCGGCUAGCGAGGGCGUCAGGUCCUUGGCGGCGCUGGAGAUGUCGCGCCAGCCCUGCCGGAUCUGGUCGACCGCGGUACCGCUGCCGCCACCGCCGG
Molecule: transfer RNA, 99 nt
Filed under: Mycobacteroides salmoniphilum
Lineage: Bacteria; Bacillati; Actinomycetota; Actinomycetes; Mycobacteriales; Mycobacteriaceae
Description: tRNA-Ser
Source: RNAcentral